GAAUAUUCAAAUUUAUAAUCAAGGGGGAUGUUCUCACUCUUCAUCAAUUACUACUACCACCAACUUUCGAUUCACUCGCUUCCCUCUCGAACGUUCUACACCUUUCAUACUCGCUCUCUGCCAACCUCUGCUCACAGAGUCACAGCUUAAAUGGGCAGAUCAAGCAGAACAAUUUAUGUCGGCAAUCUUCUUGGUGAUGUUCGCCAGAGUGAAGUUGAAGAUAUCUUUUACAAGUAUGGCCGUAUUGUUGAUAUAGAUUUGAAAAUGCCUCCAAGGCCUCCUGGUUAUGCUUUUGUUGAGUUUGAAAAUUCUCGCGACGCUGAUGACGCCAUACAUGGUCGUGAUGGUUAUGAUUUUGAUGGAUGUCGUUUACGGGUUGAACUAGCUCAUGGAGGGAGAGGAUCAUCAUCAUAUGACCGUCACAGUAGUCACAACAGUGGAAGUAGUCGUGGUGGAGCUUCAAAACAUUCUGACUACCGGGUGCUGGUUACUGGACUUCCUUCUUCUGCUUCUUGGCAAGACUUGAAGGAUCACAUGCGUCGAGCUGGUGAUGUUUGUUUUUCUCAAGUUUACCGUGAGCGUGACGGCAUGCGUGGAGUUGUCGACUAUAACAACUACGAUGACAUGAAAUAUGCGAUAAGGAAGCUUGAUGAUUCUCUCUUCCGUAACCAAUUUUCAAAGGCAUAUAUAAGGGUGGAGGAGUAUGACAGGAGACGUAGUUACUCCAGGAGUCCUUCUAAGAGUCCUUACUCAAGAAGCAGAAGUAUCUCUCGCAGCCCUGGUGAUCGGGCUAGGAGUAGAAGUGCUUCUCCAAGGAAGAAAAGUUCUCAUCAAUCUCUUUCUAGAUCCCGUUCAAGGUCUGUUGCAUCCAAGUCAGAAUCUGGCUCCCCUCGCUCUUUAUCAAGGGACUUGAUGGCUUAUGGUGCUCAGUUUCUUGCGACUCAUUUCUUUCUGGCAAUAAGCUGUAAGUUGAUGAGCACGAUGAGCACCCACUGCAAGACCCAGAUGUUCAUGAAAAUUGCAGAUCCAGAUCCCCUAGGAAAUCUAGACCUGCAGUGUCACCGCCACCCCAUCAAUCCAGGCAUGGACGUGCCCGUAUGAGCAGGAGCAGGAGCCGAAGCCGAAGCAGGAGCAGAUCGAGAUCUAGAUCGGUGCAUUCUGAUUGAAGUGAAUUUGCGGAUGAAAGAUUGAAAUGAAAGAUUGUGUCUAGUUCACAUACAAAGACAGUUUUAGCUAAAAGAUUGAAAUGAAAGAGUGUCUAGUUCACAAACAAAGACUUCAAAAGUUUUAGCUACAUUCAGGAGGAUUUGGGUGAGUCAUCUGUCAGAUUAAUGGAUCGUCUAAUAUUUUUGCUAAUGAUUGUAUACAUUUUCUUCA
This is a non-coding RNA of Salvia hispanica, 1377 nucleotides long. Lineage: Eukaryota; Viridiplantae; Streptophyta; Magnoliopsida; Lamiales; Lamiaceae. The record is from RefSeq and is a predicted model, not a curated record.